Molecule: ribosomal RNA, 497 nt
Filed under: uncultured bacterium
Lineage: Bacteria
Description: partial 16S ribosomal RNA
Rfam family: Bacterial small subunit ribosomal RNA
Source: RNAcentral
GAUGAACGCUGGCGGCGUGCCUAAUACAUGCAAGUCGAGCGAACAGACGAGGAGCUUGCUCCUCUGACGUUAGCGGCGGACGGGUGAGUAACACGUGGAUAACCUACCUAUAAGACUGGGAUAACUUCGGGACACCGGAGCUAAUACCGGAUAAUAUAUUGAACCGCAUGGUUCAAUAGUGAAAGACGGUUUUGCUGUCACUUAUAGAUGGAUCCGCGCCGCAUUAGCUAGUUGGUAAGGUAACGGCUUACCAAGGCGACGAUGCGUAGCCGACCUGAGAGGGUGAUCGGCCACACGGGAACUGAGACACGGUCCAGACGCCUAAGGGAGGCAGCAGUAGGGAAUCUUCCGCAAUGGGCGAAAGCCUGACGGAGCAACGCCGCGUGAGUGAUGAAGGUCUUCGGAUCGUAAAACUCUGUUAUUAGGGAAGAACAAAUGUGUAAGUAACUAUGCACGUCUUGACGGUACCUAAUCAGAAAGCCACGGCUAACUACGUG